CCACACGUCAGUCCUAGCGACUUUUCCCUUCAUUACAUUUCUUUCCCCACCACAUUCAACCGCUAACGCAAACGUUAUUUCCACGCCACAAGUUUUUUUUUCUUUUCAUUUUUCUACUAAUUUUAUUGAUUAAAUAGACACGAUUCGAUCGAGGUUACAAUUUCCAUACUUUUUAUUUAUUUUUAUUUGACUAUAUAGCCAAGGUCAAGUCGACACUACAUAUUUAUGACUAAUUUAUUC
This 240-nucleotide long non-coding RNA is filed under the name Lathyrus oleraceus (garden pea). Its description in RNAcentral is "Pisum sativum (pea) long non-coding RNA (PSAT_LNC028851)". Lineage: Eukaryota; Viridiplantae; Streptophyta; Magnoliopsida; Fabales; Fabaceae. The record is from RNAcentral.